Molecule: transfer RNA, 71 nt
Filed under: Gammarus sp. 1 ZH-2007
Lineage: Eukaryota; Metazoa; Arthropoda; Malacostraca; Amphipoda; Gammaridae
Description: tRNA-Val
Source: RNAcentral
GAUGAUAUAGAUUUUCAGUUACAAUGAAAAAAACCCGGAGGGGCAUCUUUUUACUUUUAAUUAUGGUCCAA